GUGGGUGAAAGACCCGAGCUAACAUGGGGUUAGCUCGUUAAAUUACAAUAAAGCCUCGUGCAGUUUGCAGCAAGCUCUCGAAUCCGCCUGGUGAUUGGGGUGACCGCGAACCUGGCCUGAGACCCCGGAUACUUGAGUUUUCGGGGGUCUAACAUUUUGGGGGCUCGUCCGCGAUUUGCGACCACCCUUCACCUGAGUGGAUUCGAUCUUGGAGCACAUGGCACGGGAAAGGAGUUCUGCCAUGUGUCACGGGUUAGAAUGUGUUAUGUUGGAGUCCCCCGAUGCUGCUUUUCUGAACUCGAACCACUGCUGCAGCCCUUACAGCUGAGCCUGGCCCAUGUAGUUUAAACAUGUCUUAAACAGGUUUCUGCUUCUGACAGACAUCUGAGUAUCAGUACUCACUACAGGCUGUUCUAAGUAGACUGCGAGCCCUAGACUUGCUAUGGAUGUGAACCAGUUCAGCUGAUAUGGACACCCCCUGUCUCUGCAACAGUGUCUGCUAACCAGAAGCCCCUAAUAAAUUCCCCAUUGCCUAAAUUCCUUUUUGCUUUUGACUAGCAUUUCAACCUUCUGGGGUCCCUAACUUCGUCCCAAAGUCAGCAGGAAGCAGUUUGGAAAAGAAUUUCGCCGUCCAUUUUCCCUGGUUAAAAUGCUAAGUCAAAAGGAACUCCCUUGCAUGGGGAUGACAGUAUCUAUCACUCCCUGAUGGGGAUGCUAGAGAGACAGCAAUUCCAUGAUUGGAAUUUCCAGAAAAGAAAAUGGGGGAAUGAAGGAACCAGCUCCCUUUUGGCAGCCAUUACAGCCGAACACAUGCUUGCCAUAAACCUGCCUUGGUCACGUAGAGGUCAGAUGCCUGUCUCGUGACAAGGAACCCAUCAGAAGUUAGUCACUAGAAAGUCAGGUGCCUGUCUUGUGACAAGGAACCAAUCAGAAGUUAGCUGGUGGUGCUAUGCUUUAUGGCUCUGGGUGUGCUUUACGGACAAGCGCACAGCAAUGACGUAGAGAGCAUAGCAACCACCCUGGGAG
RNAcentral lists this long non-coding RNA (1026 nucleotides) under Cricetulus griseus (Chinese hamster). Its description in RNAcentral is "lncRNA (ENSCGRG00015034750.1)". The record is from RNAcentral. Lineage: Eukaryota; Metazoa; Chordata; Mammalia; Rodentia; Cricetidae.